This 311-nucleotide unclassified non-coding RNA is filed under the name Hevea brasiliensis (rubber tree). The record is from RNAcentral. Lineage: Eukaryota; Viridiplantae; Streptophyta; Magnoliopsida; Malpighiales; Euphorbiaceae.
UUAUUAUCCUGAUGGCACACCAGUAUAUAACAUUGGAUUGCAGGGGUAUCUCCCAGAGUUGUUGUAUUCAUCGUCCAAAAGGAAUGUUUUCUCAGUUUUCAGCUUGCUUCUUAUAUUCAUAGCCUGCAAAAUCUACACUUAAAAGCUUCACCAUCCAUCAAUAAUGACACAGUAGAGGUAUACCGAGUAAUUGAUAGAAAUUCUUAUUCAUAGCACGAGGAGUCUUAUGGAGGAGAGCCCAUACAGAUCGCUUUCAGCUGUAUUGUAUAUUUACUUUCUAUCCCAUCAUCGAUUUGGUUCAUUGGAUAUGA